Molecule: ribosomal RNA, 3013 nt
Filed under: Salmonella enterica subsp. enterica serovar Indiana
Lineage: Bacteria; Pseudomonadati; Pseudomonadota; Gammaproteobacteria; Enterobacterales; Enterobacteriaceae
Description: 23S ribosomal RNA
Rfam family: Bacterial large subunit ribosomal RNA
Source: RNAcentral
GGGUUGUGAGGUUAAGCGACUAAGCGUACACGGUGGAUGCCCUGGCAGUCAGAGGCGAUGAAGGACGUGCUAAUCUGCGAUAAGCGCCGGUAAGGUGAUAUGAACCGUUAUAACCGGCGAUUUCCGAAUGGGGAAACCCAGUGUGACUCGUCACACUAUCAUUAACUGAAUCCAUAGGUUAAUGAGGCGAACCGGGGGAACUGAAACAUCUAAGUACCCCGAGGAAAAGAAAUCAACCGAGAUUCCCCCAGUAGCGGCGAGCGAACGGGGAGGAGCCCAGAGCCUGAAUCAGCAUGUGUGUUAGUGGAAGCGUCUGGAAAGGCGCGCGAUACAGGGUGACAGCCCCGUACACAAAAGCGCAUGUGCUGUGAGCUCGAUGAGUAGGGCGGGACACGUGGUAUCCUGUCUGAAUAUGGGGGGACCAUCCUCCAAGGCUAAAUACUCCUGACUGACCGAUAGUGAACCAGUACCGUGAGGGAAAGGCGAAAAGAACCCCGGCGAGGGGAGUGAAAAAGAACCUGAAACCGUGUACGUACAAGCAGUGGGAGCACAGGUUUACCUGUGUGACUGCGUACCUUUUGUAUAAUGGGUCAGCGACUUAUAUUCUGUAGCAAGGUUAACCGCAUAGGGGAGCCGCAGGGAAACCGAGUCUUAACCGGGCGUUAAGUUGCAGGGUAUAGACCCGAAACCCGGUGAUCUAGCCAUGGGCAGGUUGAAGGUUGGGUAACACUAACUGGAGGACCGAACCGACUAAUGUUGAAAAAUUAGCGGAUGACCUGUGGCUGGGGGUGAAAGGCCAAUCAAACCGGGAGAUAGCUGGUUCUCCCCGAAAGCUAUUUAGGUAGCGCCUCGUGAAUUCAUCUCCGGGGGUAGAGCACUGUUUCGGCUAGGGGGCCAUCCCGGCUUACCAACCCGAUGCAAACUGCGAAUACCGGAGAAUGUUAUCACGGGAGACACACGGCGGGUGCUAACGUCCGUCGUGAAGAGGGAAACAACCCAGACCGCCAGCUAAGGUCCCAAAGUCAUGGUUAAGUGGGAAACGAUGUGGGAAGGCCCAGACAGCCAGGAUGUUGGCUUAGAAGCAGCCAUCAUUUAAAGAAAGCGUAAUAGCUCACUGGUCGAGUCGGCCUGCGCGGAAGAUGUAACGGGGCUAAACCAUGCACCGAAGCUGCGGCAGCGAACGUAUCACCCAAGACAACUUUGCGGAGUUGACGAUUGACGGAGCGAAGCGACGUCAAAGCGUUCAUUAAAGUCGAGUUGGCUUAGGGAUACGUUCGUUGGGUAGGGGAGCGUUCUGUAAGCCUGUGAAGGUAUGCUGUGAGGCAUGCUGGAGGUAUCAGAAGUGCGAAUGCUGACAUAAGUAACGAUAAAGCGGGUGAAAAGCCCGCUCGCCGGAAGACCAAGGGUUCCUGUCCAACGUUAAUCGGGGCAGGGUGAGUCGACCCCUAAGGCGAGGCCGAAAGGCGUAGUCGAUGGGAAACGGGUUAAUAUUCCCGUACUUGGUGUUACUGCGAAGGGGGGACGGAGAAGGCUAUGUUGGCCGGGCGACGGUUGUCCCGGUUUAAGCGUGUAGGUGUGUGUUCCAGGUAAAUCCGGUUCACUUUAACACUGAGGCGUGACGACGAGGCACUACGGUGCUGAAGCAACAAAUGCCCUGCUUCCAGGAAAAGCCUCUAAGCAUCAGGUAACAUCAAAUCGUACCCCAAACCGACACAGGUGGUCAGGUAGAGAAUACCAAGGCGCUUGAGAGAACUCGGGUGAAGGAACUAGGCAAAAUGGUGCCGUAACUUCGGGAGAAGGCACGCUGACAUGUAGGUGAAGUGAUUUACUCAUGGAGCUGAAGUCAGUCGAAGAUACCAGCUGGCUGCAACUGUUUAUUAAAAACACAGCACUGUGCAAACACGAAAGUGGACGUAUACGGUGUGACGCCUGCCCGGUGCCGGAAGGUUAAUUGAUGGGGUCAGCGCAAGCGAAGCUCCUGAUCGAAGCCCCGGUAAACGGCGGCCGUAACUAUAACGGUCCUAAGGUAGCGAAAUUCCUUGUCGGGUAAGUUCCGACCUGCACGAAUGGCGUAAUGAUGGCCAGGCUGUCUCCACCCGAGACUCAGUGAAAUUGAACUCGCUGUGAAGAUGCAGUGUACCCGCGGCAAGACGGAAAGACCCCGUGAACCUUUACUAUAGCUUGACACUGAACAUUGAGCCUUGAUGUGUAGGAUAGGUGGGAGGCUUUGAAGUGUGGACGCCAGUCUGCAUGGAGCCGACCUUGAAAUACCACCCUUUAAUGUUUGAUGUUCUAACGUGGACCCGUAAUCCGGGUUGCGGACAGUGUCUGGUGGGUAGUUUGACUGGGGCGGUCUCCUCCUAAAGAGUAACGGAGGAGCACGAAGGUUGGCUAAUCCUGGUCGGACAUCAGGAGGUUAGUGCAAUGGCAUAAGCCAGCUUGACUGCGAGCGUGACGGCGCGAGCAGGUGCGAAAGCAGGUCAUAGUGAUCCGGUGGUUCUGAAUGGAAGGGCCAUCGCUCAACGGAUAAAAGGUACUCCGGGGAUAACAGGCUGAUACCGCCCAAGAGUUCAUAUCGACGGCGGUGUUUGGCACCUCGAUGUCGGCUCAUCACAUCCUGGGGCUGAAGUAGGUCCCAAGGGUAUGGCUGUUCGCCAUUUAAAGUGGUACGCGAGCUGGGUUUAGAACGUCGUGAGACAGUUCGGUCCCUAUCUGCCGUGGGCGCUGGAGAACUGAGGGGGGCUGCUCCUAGUACGAGAGGACCGGAGUGGACGCAUCACUGGUGUUCGGGUUGUCAUGCCAAUGGCACUGCCCGGUAGCUAAAUGCGGAAGAGAUAAGUGCUGAAAGCAUCUAAGCACGAAACUUGCCCCGAGAUGAGUUCUCCCUGAGACUUUAGGUCUCCUGAAGGAACGUUGAAGACGACGACGUUGAUAGGCCGGGUGUGUAAGCGCAGCGAUGCGUUGAGCUAACCGGUACUAAUGAACCGUGAGGCUUAACCUUACAACGCCGAAG